Molecule: ribosomal RNA, 525 nt
Filed under: uncultured Roseobacter sp.
Lineage: Bacteria; Pseudomonadati; Pseudomonadota; Alphaproteobacteria; Rhodobacterales; Roseobacteraceae
Description: bacterial SSU rRNA
Rfam family: Bacterial small subunit ribosomal RNA
Source: RNAcentral
AGUGGGGAAUCUUAGACAAUGGGCGAAAGCCUGAUCUAGCCAUGCCGCGUGAGUGAUGAAGGCCCUAGGGUCGUAAAGCUCUUUCGCCAGGGAUGAUAAUGACGGUACCUGGUAAAGAAACCCCGGCUAACUCCGUGCCAGCAGCCGCGGUAAUACGGAGGGGGUUAGCGUUGUUCGGAAUUACUGGGCGUAAAGCGUACGUAGGCGGAUCAGAAAGUUAGGGGUGAAAUCCCGAGGCUCAACCUCGGAACUGCCUCUAAAACUCCUGGUCUUGAGUUCGAGAGAGGUGAGUGGAAUUCCAAGUGUAGAGGUGAAAUUCGUAGACAUUUGGAGGAACACCAGUGGCGAAGGCGGCUCACUGGCUCGAUACUGACGCUGAGGUACGAAAGUGUGGGGAGCAAACAGGAUUAGAUACCCUGGUAGUCCACACCGUAAACGAUGAAUGCCAGUCGUCGGGCAGUAUACUGUUCGGUGACACACCUAACGGAUUAAGCAUUCCGCCUGGGGAGUACGGUCGCAAGAUUA